GAUGAAGAACGCAGUGAAAUGCGAUACGUAAUGUGAAUUGCAGAAUUCAGUGAAUCAUCGAAUCUUUGAACGCACAUUGCGCUCUCUGGUAUUCCGGAGAGCAUACUUGUUUGAGUAUCAGUAAACACCUCAACUCCUUUAUUGUAGUUGGACUUGAGCUAUCCCAACAGGACUUUUUGUUCCUGGCGGGAGGCUUGAAAUGCAGGUGCAGCUGGACUUUCUUCUGAGCUAUAAGCAUAUUUAUUUAAUCCCUUAACACGGAUUAUUACUUUUUUGCUGCAGCUAACAUAAAGGUUGAAUUUCCAUUGAGCUGACUGAUGCAGGAAUUUGGCAAGGAAUUUUUUUAAUGACUUGUUAAACUCGAUCUCAAAUCAAGUAAGACUACCCGCUGAACUUAAGCAUAUCAAUAAGCGGAGGA
RNAcentral lists this unclassified non-coding RNA (418 nucleotides) under soil metagenome. Its description in RNAcentral is "partial contains 5.8S ribosomal RNA, internal transcribed spacer 2, and large subunit ribosomal RNA". The stretch from base 1 to 120 matches the Rfam family "5.8S ribosomal RNA", at positions 35 to 154 of the family's 154-position model. The record is from RNAcentral.